UACGAAGGGUGCAAACGUUGCUCGGAAUCAUUGGGCGUAAAGCGCACGUAGGCGGCUUCGCAAGUCGGAUGCGAAAUCCCUCGGCUCAACCGAGGACGUGCAUCCGAAACUGCGGGGCUUGAGUACAGAAGAGGAUCGCGGAAUUCCCGGUGUAGAGGUGAAAUUCGUAGAUAUCGGGAGGAACACCAGUGGCGAAGGCGGCGAUCUGGGCUGAUACUGACGCUGAGGUGCGAACGCGUGGGGAGCAAACAGG
Molecule: ribosomal RNA, 253 nt
Filed under: uncultured bacterium
Lineage: Bacteria
Description: partial 16S ribosomal RNA
Rfam family: Bacterial small subunit ribosomal RNA
Source: RNAcentral